UUUCAGUCCGUGGAAGCGGGACCCUCCAUGGGAAGGCCAAUUCCAGCGCCUUUGAUUGUAUGGAAAGCAACAUAUUCAGAUUCCAAGGUUCCAGUGGUCUCUACCUGUCCAGUCCCAGUACGAAAGCGUGCUUUCUCCCUAUCAUCCUUGGCAGCUGAAAGUAGAUUUGCCUACGCGUGUAGCCUCCGAGCCGAAACUUCUCUUCAAGAAAGUUGGCAGUUCUUCGUGUGUUGAUUGGCUUCUAGUGCUGACUGCUGGUAUUGAUUCGAACUUAUCAUUUGCUAUUUCUGGAGUCUGCUGACCACCUUACCAACUUGACCGGAACUUAGAGCUGAUGACUUUUCGGACUUCGUUGGUAACUAUUUUUCAUUUGAAAUGAAAAGGUUCAGCUGGACUGCCUACCAUUCAAAUGAACCAAUCUAAAUCAUGGUCUUGGUGUUGCUGGCACCGAAGAGUACAGUUAUAAUUAUUCUCGAUGAAACUGAAGCUGUAGCUUUUACUUAAUAUAAGUUGGCGUUCACGUAUGGACGAUUUUAUGUGGGAUUAAAGAAAACUUGCUACUGGUAUAAGAUACAGUUUGGACUUCCCUCAAUAGGAAAAUUUUCGUACGAAUUACGAUCACAAGAGGAAGCCUCAUAGCCUGGAACGGCGAAGUACUAAUCAGUGCGAGAACGUUACAGCCUGUGCAUUGAGGACCUAUAAGGGAAGCCCUAGAGUCAUAUAAGCCCCUAUGGACGUCAGGAAUGCAACUUGGUUCAGAUUCCAGUUUCCAGUGUUCCAGUCCAAUGAAGGGGACCUAAAUGGGAAGCCAAAUUCCAGUACCAUAUGAGCCCCGGUGACCAUCUGGAAAGCAACAUGGUUCAUAUUCCAGGGAUCCAGCUUGUGGAUAGGGGACCGCCAUGGGAAACCUAAUUCCCUACCAUAUGAGUUCCGGUAACCAUCUGGAAAGCCACGUGGUUCAAAUUCCAGGGUUCCAGGUAAGUCAUCAUCAAAGGUGAUAAGGGCUGAAAAGGUCAUGAUCAUAAAAAUCUGCUUAGACUGGAAGAGUAAACU
Long non-coding RNA from Macrobrachium nipponense, 1053 nucleotides. RefSeq lists it as uncharacterized. NCBI's taxonomy places the organism in Eukaryota, Metazoa, Arthropoda, Malacostraca, Decapoda, Palaemonidae. The transcript has 8 exons. The record is from RefSeq and is a predicted model, not a curated record.